AACCCCCUCAAGCACUGCUUGGUGUUGGGCGCCUUUGUCCCGCCUCGGGCGUGGACUCGCCUCAAAAACAUUGGCGGCCUGUGUAUUGGCUUCGAGCGCAGCAGACUCGCGCCUCGCAAACCUCUGGCACGGGCGUCCAUCAAGAUGCACCCCAAA
This 156-nucleotide unclassified non-coding RNA is filed under the name uncultured Lophiostoma. RNAcentral's name for it is "sequence contains ITS2". The record is from RNAcentral. Lineage: Eukaryota; Fungi; Ascomycota; Dothideomycetes; Pleosporales; Lophiostomataceae.